GCCAUGUUCGCCAGGCUGUUCUCGAACUCUAAAGUGCUAAGGUUACAGGUGUGAGCCACCGCGCCAAAGGCCAUCUGCUCAGCCACUGCUGGCUCCAGAUCAAGUCAGCCUUGACUUCAUCUUCUGCAGUCAGAGCUGCUGCAGCUGUCGCCUGAAAGCUCUUCUCUUCAUCGGUUUCCCUAGGCCCUUACUGCAAGAUGCACAGGAUGCAGACUUACAGCGAGGAUCUUUCCUCAAUUAAUAACUCGGCAACUUGAGAACUACAAAAGAAUCAACCUUUUGUUCUUGAAAUUACUUAAACAUACCAGGAAGAAACUCCUGUUGUCUUUUUUAACCAUUUGACCUUGACCUUCCAAUUUCAUUAUAUAGCUAAAUUAUACCUUCUCUUGCUAAUAUUUCUUCCUGAAUACAUUAAAUGUGUGGUUCCCAAACCAUGUGCAGAGAUGCCCCAGGGUGCUGAGCAAACUCACCAGUGCACUGUAGGAUGUUUUAAAAUUUCAAGAGAAACACAGCGACAUCUGCUGGACUCUGUGCAAACUACUAGUUUGAGGCAAUUCAGUCUCAUUAGAUUGUCCUACAGUCCUUUCAAUAACAUCAUGUACUUUCAAAGCUGGGUUUUGGCUAUUCCCAUGACGAAAAUGAAAGUAUGAUGCAAAAAUCAACAUGCACAGGAAAUGAGGUUGGUGAUGAGAAAUCAGAUUCCAAGGCUUGACUAGAUGUGUAGAGCCCAACAGCAGCGCACACAGUAACAUGAAGUCAUUCUGGUUAUUAAAGAAUGAAUUGGGUCCCUCUCCCUCUCUCCCUCUCCCUCUCUCCCUCUCCCUCUCCCCACGGUCUCCCUCUCCCUCUCUUUCCAUGGUCUCCCUCUGAUGCCGAGCCGAAGCUGGACUGUACUGCUGCCAUCUCGGCUCACUGCAGCCUCCCUGCCUGAUUCUCCUGCCUCAGCCUGCCGAGUGCCUGCGAUUGCAGGCGCGCGCCGCCACGCCUGACUGGUUUUCGUAUUUUUUUGGUGGAGACGGGGUUUCGCUGUGUUGGCCGGGCUGGUCUCCAGCUCCUAACUGCGAGUGAUCCGCCAGCCUCGGCCUCCCGAGGUGCCGAGAUUGCAGACGGAGUCUGGUUCACUCAGUGCUCAAUGGUACCCAGGCUGGAGUGCAGUAGCGUGAUCUCGGCUCGCUACAACCUCCACCUCCCAGCCGCCUGCCUUGGCCUCCCAAAGUGCCGAGACUGCAGCCUCUGCCCAGCCGCCACCCCGUCUGGGAAGUGAGGAGCCCCUCUGCCUGGCUGCCCAGUCUGGAAAGUGAGGAGCGUCUCUGCCCGGCCGCCAUCUCAUCUAGAAGUGAGGAGCGCCUCUUCCCGGCCGCCGUCCCAUCUAGGAAGUGAGGAGCGUCUCUGCCCGGCCGCCCAUCGUCUGAGAUGUGGGGAGCGCCUCUGCCCCGCUGCCCCAUCUGGGAUGUGAGGAGCGCCUCUACCUGGCCGCGACCCUGUCUGGGAGGUGAGGAGCGUCUCUGCCCGGCCGCCCCGUCUGAGAAGAGAGGAGACCCUCCGCCUGGCAACCGCCCCGUCUGAGAAGUGAGGAGCCCCUCCGCCCGGCAGCCGCCCUGUCUGAGAAGUGAAGAGCCCCUCCGCCCGGCAGCCACCCCGUCUGGGAAGUGAGGAGCGUCUCCGCCCGGCAGCCACCCCAUCCAGGAGGGAGGUGGGGGGGGUCAGCCCGCCACCCGGCCAGCCGCCCCGUCCGGGAGGGAGGUGGGGGGGGUCAGCCCCCCCCGCCCGGCCAGCCGCCCCGUCCGGAAGAUGCAGGCUUCCUCUUUAUGCGCAAAUGGAAAUGCUCUGAGCAGUACUUAUUCUACCUGAACAUAGAGGAAGGAAGCCUAGAUGGCUGGCAGAGGAGCACAGCCCCACGUGAAGAUUUCAGCACCUGUCCCUUCUCUGCCCGACGACAAUGGAAGAGCAGGCACCGUGAGAUCCUGGGCUAACCACCUCCUCCCCGCAGCACAACGCAACAUCCUAGCUCCUGGUCUGCGGUUCCCCACCACCCAGCGGAGACCUGAACUCAGUCUGAGGAAAGUCUGAUGCCGCCAUUUCUAACUUAAACAGUAUUUGCCCCACUUCUAGGUAAUAAACUUA
RNAcentral lists this long non-coding RNA (2124 nucleotides) under Homo sapiens (human). RNAcentral's name for it is "HSALNT0371094". The record is from RNAcentral. Lineage: Eukaryota; Metazoa; Chordata; Mammalia; Primates; Hominidae.